Molecule: ribosomal RNA, 253 nt
Filed under: uncultured bacterium
Lineage: Bacteria
Description: partial 16S ribosomal RNA
Rfam family: Bacterial small subunit ribosomal RNA
Source: RNAcentral
UACAGAGGUCCCAAGCGUUGUUCGGAUUUACUGGGCGUAAAGGGUGCGUAGGUGGUCGGGUAAGUUUGAUGUGAAAUCUCCGGGCUUAACCCGGAAAAUGCAUUGAAUACUAUUCGGCUUGAGGGUUGGAGGGGGGACUGGAAUUCUCGGUGUAGCAGUGAAAUGCGUAGAUAUCAAGUGGAACACCAGUGGCGAAGGCGAGUCUCUGGACAAUUCCUGACGCUGAGGCACGAAAGCCAGGGGAGCAAACGGG